AUGGAUUUUGGGACUGAACUGAAGGGAUGUGUUUGCCGGAUCAACAACUGCGCCAUCGAACUCUUCUCCAUGGAGGAGGAUUUGGAGAUUGAAGACGAAGACUCAUGGGACCUGGUUGGGAGGGACCUCCGUCUGAAGGCCACCUUCAUGUAUAUUGACCUCAGCCGUGUGAUCUCCUCCUGUGAGAGCGAUGAGCGCAAGAAGACGCUCACCGGCCUAGCCAACAAGUUCUUCUACUUCAUGGACGAGUUGGGCAAUGCGGUGAAGGACAGAAGCGCCCCCCUGGUGCAGGUGUGCUACAGAGACACAGCUCAUGUUCUUCGCGAGGUGGUGGCCGCCCUUGAGCCGUCCCAUUAG
This 357-nucleotide ribosomal RNA is filed under the name Triticum aestivum (bread wheat). RNAcentral's name for it is "partial small subunit ribosomal RNA". Lineage: Eukaryota; Viridiplantae; Streptophyta; Magnoliopsida; Poales; Poaceae. The record is from RNAcentral.